This 78-nucleotide transfer RNA is filed under the name Aeropyrum pernix K1. Its description in RNAcentral is "tRNA-Pro (CGG) (tRNA-Pro-CGG-1-1)". It matches the Rfam family "tRNA". Rfam says of the family: Transfer RNA (tRNA) molecules are approximately 80 nucleotides in length. Their secondary structure includes four short double-helical elements and three loops (D, anti-codon, and T loops). The record is from RNAcentral. RNAcentral also lists the same sequence under 8 other names. Lineage: Archaea; Thermoproteati; Thermoproteota; Thermoprotei; Acidilobales; Acidilobaceae.
GGGCCCGUCGUCUAGCCUGGCUAGGAUGCGGGGUUCGGGACCCCGUGGUCCGGGGUUCAAAUCCCCGCGGGCCCACCA